RNAcentral lists this ribosomal RNA (510 nucleotides) under uncultured bacterium. Its description in RNAcentral is "partial 16S ribosomal RNA". It matches the Rfam family "Bacterial small subunit ribosomal RNA", at positions 28 to 507 of the family's 1533-position model. The record is from RNAcentral.
GACGAACGCUGGCGGCGUGCUUAACACAUGCAAGUCGAACGAAGAGCGAUGGAAGCUUGCUUCUAUCAAUCUUAGUGGCGAACGGGUGAGUAACGCGUAAUCAACCUGCCCUUCAGAGGGGGACAACAGUUGGAAACGACUGCUAAUACCGCAUACGAUCUAAUCUCGGCAUCGAGGAUAGAUGAAAGGUGGCCUCUACAUGUAAGCUAUCACUGAAGGAGGGGAUUGCGUCUGAUUAGCUAGUUGGAGGGGUAACGGCCCACCAAGGCGAUGAUCAGUAGCCGGUCUGAGAGGAUGAACGGCCACAUUGGGACUGAGACACGGCCCAGACUCCUACGGGAGGCAGCAGUGGGGAAUCUUCCGCAAUGGACGAAAGUCUGACGGAGCAACGCCGCGUGAGUGAUGACGGCCUUCGGGAUGUAAAGCUCUGUUAAUCGGGACGAAAGGCCUUCUUGCGAAUAGUGAGAAGGAUUGACGGUACCGGAAGAGAAAGCCACGGCUAACUACGUG